AUGGGGCACUACGCGUUUCUAUGGGUCUCUGUGGGUCUCUGUGGGGCACUGUGGGUCUCUCUGUGCGGCUCUAUGGGGUCUCUAUGGGGUCUCUAUGGGGCUCUAUGGGGCGCUAUGGGGCACUUAGGGGUCACUGUAGGCUCUCUCUAUGGGUCUCUGUGGGUCUCUAUGGGGCAUUAUGGGUCUUUAUGGGUCUCUGUGGGUCUCUGUGGGGCAGCUAUGGGGCACUAUGAGUCUCUAUGGGGUCGCUAUAGGGCUCUGUGGGUCUCCAUGGGUCUCUAUGGGUCGCUAUGGGUCUCUAUGGGGCACUACUCUAUGUGUCUCUAUGGGUCUCUAUGGGUCUCUAUGGGUCUCUAUGGGGCAGCUAUGUGGCUCUAUGGGUCUCUGUGGGUCUCUAUGGGGCUCUAUGGGGUUCUAUGGGGCAGCUAUGGGUCUCUAUGGGUCUCUAUGAGGCUCUAUGGGGCGCUAUGGGGCACUGUGGGGCUCUAUGGGUCUCUAUGGGGCUCUAUGUGGCUCUAUGGGGCACCAUGGGGUUCUAUGGGGCAGCUAUGCUGCGCUAUGGGGCANNNNNNNNNNNNNNCUGUGGGUCUCUAUGGGUCACUGUGGGUCGCUAUGGGUCGCUAUGGUGUCCCUAUGGGUCUCCAUGGGUCUCUAUGGGUCGCUGUGUGUCCCGCUAUGGGUCUUUAUGGGUCGCUAUGGGUCUCUAUGGGUCUCUAUGGGUCUCAAUGUGUCUCUAUGGGUCGCUAUGGGUCUCGAUGGGUCUCUGUGAUCUCUAUGGGGCGCUGUGGGUCUCUAUGGGUCUCUAUGGGGCAGCUAUGUGACUCUAUGGGUCUCUAUGGGUCCCUAUGGAUCUCUGUGGGUCUCUAUGGGUCUCUAUGGGUCUCUAUGGGGUCUCUAUGGGGCAGCUAUGUGUCUCUAUGUGUCGCUAUGGGGCUCUAUGGGUCUCUAUGGGGCAGCUAUGGGUCACUAUGGGGCAGCUAUGUGUCUCUAUAGGUCUCUAUGGGGCACUAUGUGUCUCUAUGGGUCUCUGUGGGUCGCUAUGAGGCAGUUAUGGGUCGCUAUGGGUCCUUAUGGGGCUCUAUGGGUCUCUAUGGGGCUCUAUGGGUCUCUAUGGGUCUCUGUGGGGUCUCUAUGGGGCGAUAUGGGGUCGCUAUAGGGCUCUGUGGGUCUCUAUGGGUCGCUGUGGGUCCCGCU
This 1194-nucleotide long non-coding RNA is filed under the name Numida meleagris (helmeted guineafowl). RNAcentral's name for it is "lncRNA (ENSNMEG00000004996.1)". The record is from RNAcentral. Lineage: Eukaryota; Metazoa; Chordata; Aves; Galliformes; Numididae.